Molecule: ribosomal RNA, 497 nt
Filed under: uncultured bacterium
Lineage: Bacteria
Description: partial 16S ribosomal RNA
Rfam family: Bacterial small subunit ribosomal RNA
Source: RNAcentral
GACGAACGCUGGCGGCGUGCCUAAUACAUGCAAGUUGAGCGCUGAAGGUUGGUACUUGUACCAACUGGAUGAGCAGCGCACGGGUGAGUAACGCGUGGGGAAUCUGCCUUUGAGCAGGGGACAACAUUUGGAAACGAAUGCUAAUACCGCAUAAAAACUUUAAACACAAGUUUUAAGUUUGAAAGAUGCAAUUGCAUCACUCAAAGAUGAUCCCGCGUUGUAUUAGCUAGUUGGUGCGGUAAAGGCUCACCAAGGCGAUGAUACAUAGCCGACCUGAGAGGGUGGUCGGCCACAUUGGGACUGAGACACGGCCCAAACUCCUACGGGAGGCAGCAGUAGGGAAUCUUCGGCAAUGGAGGAAAGUCUGACCGAGCAACGCCGCGGGAGUGAAGAAGGUUUUCCGAUCGUAAAACUCUGUUGGUAGAGAAGAACGGUGGUGAGGGUGGAAAGCUCACCAAGUGACGGUAACUACCCAGAAAGCGACGGCUAACUACGUG